CCUACGGGAGGCAGCAGUGGGGAAUUUUGGACAAUGGGCGCAAGCCUGAUCCAGCAAUGCCGCGUGAGUGAAGAAGGCCUUCGGGUUGUAAAGCUCUUUUGUCAGGGAAGAAACGGUGGGAGCUAAUAUCUCCUGCUAAUGACGGUACCUGAAGAAUAAGCACCGGCUAACUACGUGCCAGCAGCCGCGGUAAUACGUAGGGUGCAAGCGUUAAUCGGAAUUACUGGGCGUAAAGCGUGCGCAGGCGGUUUUGUAAGACUGUCGUGAAAUCCCCGGGCUCAACCUGGGAAUGGCGAUGGUGACUGCAAGGCUAGAGUUUGGCAGAGGGGGGUAGAAUUCCACGUGUAGCAGUGAAAUGCGUAGAUAUGUGGAGGAACACCGAUGGCGAAGGCAGCCCCCUGGGUCAAAACUGACGCUCAUGCACGAAAGCGUGGGGAGCAAACAGGAUUAGAUACCCUGGUAGUCCACGCCCUAAACGAUGUCUACUAGUUGUCGGGUCUUAAAUUGACUUGGUAACGCAGCUAACGCGUGAGUAGACGCCGCGGGAGGUACGGUCGCGAGAAGUUAAACGUAACAAAGUAGUAAGUUAGUACGGCGUGAGACGUAGACCGACGGACGACGACGAGGGGAGGAGG
Molecule: ribosomal RNA, 635 nt
Filed under: uncultured bacterium
Lineage: Bacteria
Description: bacterial SSU rRNA
Rfam family: Bacterial small subunit ribosomal RNA (bases 1-541)
Source: RNAcentral